AAAUUGAAGAGUUUGAUCAUGGCUCAGAUUGAACGCUGGCGGCAGGCCUAACACAUGCAAGUCGAACGGUAACAGGAAGCAGCUUGCUGCUUUGCUGACGAGUGGCGGACGGGUGAGUAAUGUCUGGGAAACUGCCUGAUGGAGGGGGAUAACUACUGGAAACGGUGGCUAAUACCGCAUAAUGUCGCAAGACCAAAGAGGGGGACCUUCGGGCCUCUUGCCAU
This 224-nucleotide ribosomal RNA is filed under the name Salmonella enterica. RNAcentral's name for it is "partial 16S ribosomal RNA". It matches the Rfam family "Bacterial small subunit ribosomal RNA", at positions 1 to 221 of the family's 1533-position model. RNAcentral also lists the same sequence under 2 other names. Lineage: Bacteria; Pseudomonadati; Pseudomonadota; Gammaproteobacteria; Enterobacterales; Enterobacteriaceae. The record is from RNAcentral.